RNAcentral lists this ribosomal RNA (2162 nucleotides) under Hungatella sp. L36. RNAcentral's name for it is "partial 23S ribosomal RNA". It matches the Rfam family "Bacterial large subunit ribosomal RNA", at positions 698 to 2887 of the family's 2925-position model. Lineage: Bacteria; Bacillati; Bacillota; Clostridia; Lachnospirales; Lachnospiraceae. The record is from RNAcentral.
AGUCAGUUCAGGCAGACCCGAAACCGGGUGAUCUACCCAUGUCCAGGUUGAAGUUUCCGUAAAAGGAAAUGGAGGACCGAACGCACAUCCGUUGAAAAGGGUGGCGAUGAGGUGUGGGUAGGGGAGAAAUUCCAAUCGAACCCGGAGAUAGCUGGUUCUCCUCGAAAUAGCUUUAGGGCUAGCCUCGUAUUAGUUUAGCGGAGGUAGAGCACUGAAUUCUUAAGGGGGCGUCAAAGCUUACCAAGAGAUAUCAAACUCCGAAUGCCGCAUAAAUGAUGUACGGGAGUCAGACUGCACGAGAUAAGUUGGGUAGUCAAAAGGGAAAGAGCCCAGACCUACAGCUAAGGUCCCAAAGUGUGUGUUAAGUGGAAAAGGAUGUGGGAUUUCAAAGACAACUAGGAUGUUGGCUCAGAAGCAGCCACACAUUCAAAGAGUGCGUAAUAGCUCACUAGUCGAGAGGUCCUGCGCCGAAAAUGUCCGGGGCUGAAACACAACACCGAAGCUUAGGAAUUGACGUAAGUCAAUUGGUAGAGGAGCAUUCUUAACUGCGAAGAAGCGUUACCGUAAGGAGGCGUGGAGUGUUAAGAAGAGAGAAUGCCGGAAUGAGUAGCGAGAUGGAGGUGGGAAUCCUCCAGGCCGAAUAUCUAAGGUUUCCAGAGUAAAGCUGAUCUGCUCUGGGUAAGUCGGGGCCUAAGGCGAGGUCGAAAGACGUAGUCGAUGGACAACAGGUUGAAAUUCCUGUACCGCGUAUUAUCAGAACUGUGGGGACACAGAACCGAAGCCAAACCCGGGAAUGAAAAGACCGGGGCAAGCGCCGGACUGGUUAGACUGGAAAAUCCGUCUAGCAACAGGAAAGCGUGACGCGUACCGAACAAAAGUAGGGAAGUUGGUAUAGGGGCUGUCAAGAAAAGCCGCUAUUGUGUAAUACGUGCCCGUACCGUAAACCGACACAGGUGGAUGAGGAGAGAAUCCUAAGGCCGGCGGGAGAAGCAUUGUUAAGGAACUCGGCAAAAUGGCUCCGUAACUUCGGGAUAAGGAGCGCCCACGAGAGUGGGCCGCAGAGAAUAGGCUCAAGCAACUGUUUAGCAAAAACACAGGUCUAUGCAAAACCGAAAGGUGAGGUAUAUGGGCUGACGCCUGCCCGGUGCUGGAAGGUUAAGAGGAGAGGUUAGAGCAAUCGAAGCUUUGAAUUUAAGCCCCAGUAAACGGCGGCCGUAACUAUAACGGUCCUAAGGUAGCGAAAUUCCUUGUCGGGUAAGUUCCGACCCGCACGAAAGGCGUAAUGAUUUGAGCGCUGUCUCGACAAUGCACCCGGUGAAAUUGAAGUACCAGUGAAGAUGCUGGUUACCUGCGCCAGGACGGAAAGACCCCAUGGAGCUUUACUCCAGCUUGAUACUGGGAUUCGGUGUCGCAUGUACAGGAUAGGUGGGAGGCAGUGAAGGUAGGACGCCAGUCUUACCGGAGCCAUUGUUGGGAUACCACCCUUGCGAUAUUGGGUUUCUAACCUGCGGCCAUGACCUGGCCGGGGGACAAUGUCAGGUGGGGAGUUUGACUGGGGCGGUCGCCUCCGAAAGUGUAUCGGAGGCGCUCAAAGGUUCCCUCAGAAUGGUUGGAAACCAUUCGAAGAGUGCAAAGGCAUAAGGGAGCUUGACUGCGAGACUGACGGGUCGAGCAGGUACGAAAGUAGGACUUAGUGAUCCGGUGGUAUAAAGUGGGAUUGCCAUCGCUCAACGGAUAAAAGCUACCCUGGGGAUAACAGGCUUAUCACUCCCAAGAGUUCACAUCGACGGAGUGGUUUGGCACCUCGAUGUCGGCUCAUCGCAUCCUGGGGCUGAAGUAGGUCCCAAGGGUUGGGCUGUUCGCCCAUUAAAGCGGUACGCGAGCUGGGUUCAGAACGUCGUGAGACAGUUCGGUCCCUAUCCGGCGUGGGCGUAGGAUAUUUGAGAGGAGCUGUCCUUAGUACGAGAGGACCGGGAUGGACUGACCUCUGGUGUACCGGUUGGGUAUCAAACCCAUGGCCGGGUAGCCAAGUCGGGAAGGGAUAAACGCUGAAGGCAUCUAAGCGUGAAGCCCCCCUCAAGAUGAGAUAUCCCAUCGCAAGAGUAAGACCCCUUGAAGACGACGAGGUAGAUAGGGCAGAGGUGGAAGCAUGGCAACAUGUG